This 1065-nucleotide ribosomal RNA is filed under the name Triticum aestivum (bread wheat). Its description in RNAcentral is "partial small subunit ribosomal RNA". The record is from RNAcentral. Lineage: Eukaryota; Viridiplantae; Streptophyta; Magnoliopsida; Poales; Poaceae.
AUGACUUGGUUUCCCAGAUUACAGAAGCUCGAGAUUAUGGACUGCCCGAAACUGCUGUCAUUGCCUCCUAUCCCUUGGACUCUUGGUCCAUGCUCUGCCGAGAUAAUGGGGGUUGGAUCUGGUUUUGAGGAGCUGAGUUACUCAAAAGAACAGUGGUCUAAACUAUUGAGAUUGAGUAUUACGGGGAAGGGUGGUCAAGAUGGCAUGUUCUGGAAUAUGUUAGCAUUCUCUAAUCUAGCUGAUCUCAACGAGCGGCGCUUGAUGCAUUGCCCUCCUUUGCCAAUGCAUCAUCUCCAGAAGUUAACAUCACUGAAGUCCCUUGAAAUAAAAAAUCCGAGUAAUGUCCUGUCGCCGACCGACAGUGAGAGUGAUGUCAUAUACAAGAUACCAAUCGAAUGCCUCUCGAUCGAGUAUUGUGGUUCUGGUGAGAAGGAAUUGACACAGUUGCUCUCUCAUUUCCCAGAUCUCAGCGAGUUGGCAAUAGUUGGUUGUGAAAAGAUAACAAGGGUUGGUGUGGUGGAGCAACAGCAGCAGCAGGUGACAAGAGGAGAGGAGGAAAUAGCGUUAGCAGCAGGAGAAGAAGGUGGACUUUUGCUCUCCUCCUCCAUCACCAGCUUAAGCUUUAAUCACAUUCAUGAGGUGGAGCGCUUCACUAAGGAGCAAGAGGAUGCCCUUCAGCUCCUCACCUCCCUCCAGGACCUCAGUUUUCUAAAGUGCGGCAAGCUGCAGUGCCUCCCGGCAGGGCUACAUAGACUUUCUAGCCUCAAGACAUUGUGUAUUCAGUAUUGUGAGGCCAUCAAAUCGCUGCCCAAGGACGGCCUCCCAACAUCUUUGCAAUUUUUAUUCAUCAUUGCAUGUCCUUCGCUGAAAUCGCUACCCAAGGAUGGUCUCCCCUCUUCUCUGGAAAAAUUAAGCAUCAAUGAAUGUCCUGCCCUGAAAUCACUGCCCAGUCACGGCCUCCCAGACUCACUGCAAGUGUUAGAUGUCCAAUUUGGUGGAAACAGCGAGGAGCUAAUGAGGCAGUGCCGCAAGUUGAAAGGAAUCAUUCCAAUAAUCAGAGACUAA